Molecule: ribosomal RNA, 837 nt
Filed under: Eucelatoria armigera
Lineage: Eukaryota; Metazoa; Arthropoda; Insecta; Diptera; Tachinidae
Description: partial 28S ribosomal RNA
Rfam family: Eukaryotic large subunit ribosomal RNA
Source: RNAcentral
GAAUGUCAAAUUUCUAGUAUGAGAAAUUAACGAUUUAAGUCCUUCUUAAAUGAGGCCAUUUACCCAUAGAGGGUGCCAGGCCCGUAUAACGUUAAUGAUUACUAGAUGGCAUUUCCAAAGAGUCGUGUUGCUUGAUAGUGCAGCACUAAGUGGGUGGUAAACUCCAUCUAAAACUAAAUAUAACCAUGAGACCGAUAGUAAACAAGUACCGUGAGGGAAAGUUGAAAAGAACUCUGAAUAGAGAGUUAAAUAGUACGUGAAACUGCUUAGAGGUUAAACCCGAUGAACCUGAAUAUCCAAUAUAGAAAAUUCAUCAUUAUGAUUUCAAUAUAUUAAAAUAAUGGUGUGCAUUUUUUCUAUAAAGGACAUUGUAAUCUAUUAACAAUUUAUCAUAAGAUCAGCUAAAGUUUAUUCAAAUUAUUUUGCGCAACUUAACAUAGAAUAAAUGCUUUUGAUUUGAUAAAGUGUUGAUAGAUAUAAUAUAUAGUGCUUGAAUAAUAUUCUAUAAUGACAUAUUAAUUUAUAAUUUUUAUGUUUAUUAUAUGCACUUAUAUGAUUAACAAUGCGAAAGAUUCAGGAUACCUUCGGGACCCGUCUUGAAACACGGACCAAGGAGUCUAACAUAUUUGCAAGUUAUUGGGAGAAACCUAAUAGCGAAAUUAACAUAACUUGGGAUUAGUUUUUAGUUAGUCUAUUAAUUCAAUCCCGGGGCGUUCUAUACAGUUAUGUAUAAUAAUAUUUAUAUUAUUUAUACCUCUAACUAGAGCGUACCUUGAGCAUAUAUGCUGUGACCCGAAAGAUGGUGAACUAUACUUGAUCAGGUUGAAGUCAGGGGAA